CACGUAGGGCGCAAGCGUUGUCCGGAAUUAUUGGGCGUAAAGAGCGUGUAGGCGGCCAGGUAGGUCAGCUGUGAAAACUCGAGGCUUAACCUCGAGACGCCGGCUGAAACCCUCUGGCUAGAGUCCGGAAGAGGAGAGCGGAAUUCCUGGUGUAGCGGUGAAAUGCGCAGAUAUCAGGAAGAACACCCGUGGCGAAGGCGGCUCUCUGGGACGGUACUGACGCUGAGACGCGAAAGCGUGGGGAGCGAACAGG
RNAcentral lists this ribosomal RNA (253 nucleotides) under uncultured bacterium. RNAcentral's name for it is "partial 16S ribosomal RNA". It matches the Rfam family "Bacterial small subunit ribosomal RNA", at positions 524 to 776 of the family's 1533-position model. The record is from RNAcentral.